UACGUAGGGUGUGAGCGUUGUCCGGAAUUACUGGGCGUAAAGAGCUCGUAGGUGGUUUGUCACGUCGUCUGUGAAAUUCCGGGGCUUAACCUCGGGCGUGCAGGCGAUACGGGCAAUACUUGAGUGCUGUAGGGGAGACUGGAAUUCCUGGUGUGGCGGUGAAAUGCGCAGAUAUCAGGAGGAACACCGAUGGCGAAGGCAGGUCUCUGGGCAGUAACUGACGCUGAGGAGCGAAAGCAUGGGUAGCGAACAGGAUUAGA
Molecule: ribosomal RNA, 260 nt
Filed under: uncultured prokaryote
Description: partial 16S ribosomal RNA
Rfam family: Bacterial small subunit ribosomal RNA
Source: RNAcentral